AGAUGCUUUAGUGCCUUCGGGAACUCUGAGACAGGUGCUGCAUGGCUGUCGUCAGCUCGUGUUGUGAAAUGUUGGGUUAAGUCCCACAACGAGCGCAACCCUUAUCCUUUGUUGCCAGCACGUAAUGGUGGGAACUCAAAGGAGACUGCCGGUGAUAAACCGGAGGAAGGUGGGGAUGACGUCAAGUCAUCAUGGCCCUUACGAGUAGGGCUACACACGUGCUACAAUGGCGCAUACAAAGAGAAGCGACCUCGCGAGAGCAAGCGGACCUCAUAAAGUGCGUCGUAGUCCGGAUUGGAGUCUGCAACUCGACUCCAUGAAGUCGGAAUCGCUAGUAAUCGUAAAUCAGAAUGUUACGGUGAAUACGUUCCCGGGCCUUGUACACACCGCCCGCCACACCAUGGGAGUGGGUUGCAAAAGAAGUAGAUAGCUUAACCUUCGGGAGGGCGUUUACCACUUUGUGAUUCAUGACUGGGGUGAAGUCGUAACAAGGUAGGCGUAGUGCU
This 506-nucleotide ribosomal RNA is filed under the name uncultured bacterium. RNAcentral's name for it is "bacterial SSU rRNA". It matches the Rfam family "Bacterial small subunit ribosomal RNA", at positions 1004 to 1509 of the family's 1533-position model. The record is from RNAcentral.